Molecule: ribosomal RNA, 622 nt
Filed under: Monochaetum tenellum
Lineage: Eukaryota; Viridiplantae; Streptophyta; Magnoliopsida; Myrtales; Melastomataceae
Description: eukaryotic LSU rRNA
Rfam family: 5.8S ribosomal RNA (bases 224-379)
Source: RNAcentral
AGGUGAACCUGCGGAAGGAUCAUUGUCGAAUUCGAAGUGGAGAACGACCCGCGAACCGUUUUUGCGUCACAAAAGGUGGCGCGUCCAGCGAAAAAGGGCCGCGCCGCGCCGUAAUUUAUCAACGUCAGCACGGAUCGUGCCAAGUACUGCAUUGGCGAGAAUCGUCGUCCUCCCCCUCUUUGGGGGGCGGGGGACAUGUGCGAUCUCUGCUCUUAGUCUUAAUGACUCUCGGCAACGGAUAUCUCGGCUCUUGCAUCGAUGAAGAACGCAGCGAAAUGCGGUACUUGGUGUGAAUUGCAGAAUCCCGCGAACCAUCAACUCUUUGAACGCAAGUUGCGCCCGAAGCCAUACGGCCGAGGGCACGCCUGCCUGGGUGUCGUGGAUCCCCUUGCCGCCGGCGCCCGCACGAGCAUCGUCGCGGGUAUUUCCGGGCGCAGAAUAUGGUCUCCCGCCGGGUCGGCGUGCGCGGCACGUCGUCGGGCGGUUGGCCGAAAAUCGAGCAUUGCGACGUCCGGUUCCACGGCGUUCGGUGGAUCGAACGCGAUUGGCAGCGCCGUGGUCCCGUCUUGCCACGGGCUCUGGACUUCGACGAUUUCUGAAUGCGAUCCCAGGUCAGGUGGGA